This 345-nucleotide unclassified non-coding RNA is filed under the name soil metagenome. RNAcentral's name for it is "partial contains 5.8S ribosomal RNA, internal transcribed spacer 2, and large subunit ribosomal RNA". The stretch from base 1 to 119 matches the Rfam family "5.8S ribosomal RNA", at positions 35 to 154 of the family's 154-position model. The record is from RNAcentral.
GAUGAAGAACGUAGCGAAAUGCGAUACGUAAUGUGAAUUGCAAAUUCAGUGAAUCAUCGAGUCUUUGAACGCACAUUGCGCCCCCUGGUAUUCCGGGGGGCAUGCCUGUCCGAGCGUCAUUGCUGCCCUCAAGCACGGCUUGUGUGUUGGGCCCCGUCCUCCGAUCCCGGGGGACGGGCCCGAAAGGCAGCGGCGGCACCGCGUCCGGUCCUCGAGCGUAUGGGGCUUUGUCACCCGCUCUGUAGGCCCGGCCGGCGCUUGCCGAUCAACCCAAAUUUUUAUCCAGGUUGACCUCGGAUCAGGUAGGGAUACCCGCUGAACUUAAGCAUAUCAAUACGCGGAGGA